This 253-nucleotide ribosomal RNA is filed under the name uncultured bacterium. RNAcentral describes it as "partial 16S ribosomal RNA". It matches the Rfam family "Bacterial small subunit ribosomal RNA", at positions 524 to 776 of the family's 1533-position model. The record is from RNAcentral.
UACGAAGGGGGCUAGCGUCGCUCGGAAUCACUGGGCGUAAAGGGUGCGUAGGCGGGUCUUUAAGUCAGGGGUGAAAUCCUGGAGCUCAACUCCAGAACUGCCUUUGAUACUGAGGAUCUUGAGUCCGGGAGAGGUGAGUGGAACUGCGAGUGUAGAGGUGAAAUUCGUAGAUAUUCGCAAGAACACCAGUGGCGAAGGCGGCUCACUGGCCCGGUACUGACGCUGAGGCACGAAAGCGUGGGGAGCAAACAGG